Molecule: ribosomal RNA, 465 nt
Filed under: uncultured Klebsiella sp.
Lineage: Bacteria; Pseudomonadati; Pseudomonadota; Gammaproteobacteria; Enterobacterales; Enterobacteriaceae
Description: bacterial SSU rRNA
Rfam family: Bacterial small subunit ribosomal RNA
Source: RNAcentral
CCUACGGGCGGCUGCAGUGGGGAAUAUUGCACAAUGGGCGCAAGCCUGAUGCAGCCAUGCCGCGUGUGUGAAGAAGGCCUUCGGGUUGUAAAGCACUUUCAGCGGGGAGGAAGGCGGUGAGGUUAAUAACCUCAUCGAUUGACGUUACCCGCAGAAGAAGCACCGGCUAACUCCGUGCCAGCAGCCGCGGUAAUACGGAGGGUGCAAGCGUUAAUCGGAAUUACUGGGCGUAAAGCGCACGCAGGCGGUCUGUCAAGUCGGAUGUGAAAUCCCCGGGCUCAACCUGGGAACUGCAUUCGAAACUGGCAGGCUAGAGUCUUGUAGAGGGGGGUAGAAUUCCAGGUGUAGCGGUGGAAUGCGUAGAGAUCUGGAGGAAUACCGGUGGCGAAGGCGGCCCCCUGGACAAAGACUGACGCUCAGGUGCGAAAGCAUGGGGAGCAAACAGGAUUAGAUACCCUAGUAGUC